CUUGACUCUGUUUUCUAAAUGAGCAAAACUCGAACCUAAAUUUUGGGCUCAUUUAUUUUCAAAGCUCAAGUCUAAUUUUUAAGCUCAUUUAAUAAACAAGCCGAGCUCAAGCUUAUUGACAUUCAAUUCGUUAAAGCUCGCGAGAUCGCUUAUUUAAUAGAUUUGCGAGCUAAUUUGUAACUGAAUCGCGAACUGACUCUGUUUGACUAAAAUUAUUUAGUUUUAAACUUAAGCCUAAUAAAAGUUAGGUAGUUUUGAACUUCUUAGCCCUAAACUUAAAACUCACUGUAACUAUAAAUGAGUCAAACUGCUCUCGAGUUCUCGGCUCGGCUCGUUUUCUAAACAAGGCAAGCUUGAGCUUAUUGAUAUUCGGCUUAUUUUCUUAACAAGUCACACUCAAGCUCGGCUCAAACUUAAAAAAAUUUUAAUGAGCCAAGCCUGA
RNAcentral lists this unclassified non-coding RNA (442 nucleotides) under Hevea brasiliensis (rubber tree). Lineage: Eukaryota; Viridiplantae; Streptophyta; Magnoliopsida; Malpighiales; Euphorbiaceae. The record is from RNAcentral.